AGAUAAAGAUAAUAUUUGGCUCAUAUAACCUUGAUAAUAUGGUUCAGGGGUUUCUAUCAGAUUGCCGUAAAUAAUCUGACUAUGGGUAUAACGGGUAUUUUU
Molecule: non-coding RNA, 102 nt
Filed under: Clostridium cellulovorans
Lineage: Bacteria; Bacillati; Bacillota; Clostridia; Eubacteriales; Clostridiaceae
Also listed under: 1 other name
Description: Guanine sequence
Rfam family: Purine riboswitch aptamer
About the family: Riboswitches are metabolite binding domains within certain messenger RNAs that serve as precision sensors for their corresponding targets. Allosteric rearrangement of mRNA structure is mediated by ligand binding, and this results in modulation of gene expression.
Source: RNAcentral